CUGGAGGAUGAAAUAUGCACUGGGCUCUGAGCAGUUCCGAUAAUGGACUGCUAUACUGAUGCAUUAUGCUAGCCUAGAAAGCUAUGUCUGACUA
Molecule: non-coding RNA, 94 nt
Organism: Phaseolus vulgaris (common bean)
Lineage: Eukaryota; Viridiplantae; Streptophyta; Magnoliopsida; Fabales; Fabaceae
Source: Rfam